Molecule: ribosomal RNA, 468 nt
Filed under: Triticum aestivum (bread wheat)
Lineage: Eukaryota; Viridiplantae; Streptophyta; Magnoliopsida; Poales; Poaceae
Description: partial small subunit ribosomal RNA
Source: RNAcentral
ACUACACCCAUGCCUACUAGUGGACAUCUUGAUUUCACCAAAGAUGGUGAACCGGUUGAUCAAAAGGUUUAUCGCUCUAUGAUUGGUUCAUUGUUAUAUCUGUGUGCCUCUCGUCCCGAUAUUAUGCUAAGUGUGUGCAUGUGUGCACGAUAUCAAGCUCCUCCUAAAGAGUGUCAUCUUAAGGCUGUGAAAAGGAUAGUGAGAUACCUAAUCCAUACACCAAAUUUUGGCAUUUGGUAUCCUAAGAGGUCCUUUUUUGAUCUUGUUCGCUACUCCAAUUCAGACUAUGCCGGAGACAAGGUUGAUAGAAAAUCCACUUCGGGUACUUGUCAAUUCCUUGGUAGAUCUCCUGUGUCUUGGUCUUCCAAGAAACAAAACUCGGUAUCCUUAUCCACCGCCGAAGCGGAAUACAUUGCCGCUGGUUCAUGCUGCGCUCAAUUACUUUGGAUGACCCAAACUCUUAAAGAU